Molecule: transfer RNA, 69 nt
Filed under: Paragonimus iloktsuenensis
Lineage: Eukaryota; Metazoa; Platyhelminthes; Trematoda; Plagiorchiida; Troglotrematidae
Description: tRNA-Arg
Source: RNAcentral
UCUGAUAUCCCGGCGUAGUGGGGAUUACGUUUCGGCCGUAAUUGGGGGUGAUAUAACAUUCUAUCAGAG